RNAcentral lists this non-coding RNA (32 nucleotides) under Rattus norvegicus (Norway rat). Lineage: Eukaryota; Metazoa; Chordata; Mammalia; Rodentia; Muridae. The record is from RNAcentral.
UAAAACUGUUGAGCUUCAACAAGCUCCAAGAC